This 776-nucleotide ribosomal RNA is filed under the name uncultured Neocallimastigales. RNAcentral's name for it is "partial large subunit ribosomal RNA". It matches the Rfam family "Eukaryotic large subunit ribosomal RNA", at positions 20 to 643 of the family's 3401-position model. Lineage: Eukaryota; Fungi; Neocallimastigomycota; Neocallimastigomycetes; Neocallimastigales. The record is from RNAcentral.
CAUCACUACGCUAGAUGCAUAUCAAUAAGCGGAGGAAAAGAAACUAACAAGGAUUCCCCUAGUAACGGCGAGUGAAGCGGGAAGAGCUCAAAUUUGAAAUCUUAAAGGGUUUCCCUUUACGAAUUGUAGUUUAAAGAAGUGUUUUCUGUUGGAGUUUCGGUAAAAGUUCUUUGGAAUAGGACAUCAUAGAGGGUGAGAAUCCCGUAUUUGACCGUUACUUUCCAGCUGUGUGAUACACUUUCAAAGAGUCGGAUUGUUUGGGAAUGCAGUCCAAGAUGGGUGGUAAAUUUCAUCUAAAGCUAAAUAUUGGCGAGAGACCGAUAGCGAACAAGUACCGUGAGGGAAAGAUGAAAAGAACUUUGAAAAGAGAGUUAAACAGUACGUGAAAUUGUCAAAAGGGAAGCGUUUGACACCAGUGUUGUUUAGUUGAAAAUCAAUUCAAUAGUUUUUGAUUCUAAGUAGUAUUGACUUCAUCAGCUUGCUGCUUUCUUCUCAGAAAUUAUUGAAUGCACUUUUCAGUUAACAGGUCAACAUCAAUUUCUUUUGUUGUAAAAGGGUAAGAGGAAGGUGGCUUGCGCUUCGGCUCAAGUGUUUAUAGCCUUUUAUCUCUGCAAUCGGAGAGAGUUGAGGUCUGCAGCGUAGAUCCUUCGGGGUUAGAUACAUUGGUGCUAAGCUAUAGCCUUGUAUAGACAACUUGUUGACUAUGCUCAGUCAUGUAGCUUACUCGCUGAUGCUAUUUUACCUACGCUUAGGAUGUUGACACACGCGCGUGCUCG